Psammomys obesus (fat sand rat) is the source of this 131-nucleotide small nucleolar RNA. RefSeq annotates it as small nucleolar RNA SNORA17. The transcript has a single exon. Lineage: Eukaryota; Metazoa; Chordata; Mammalia; Rodentia; Muridae. The record is from RefSeq and is a predicted model, not a curated record.
CCUGCCCCAGAGGCACUGCAGGUGUGGCUGCUGUGUCACAUGUGCAGCAGUAGGUGGCAGGGAGGAGGGAGGCUGUGCCUAUGUAUAGUGUUCUGACCUGUGAGCACCUGAAUGAUUACUAGCCUAACAUU